UACAGAGGGGGCAAGCGUUAUUCGGAAUUACUGGGCGUAAAGGGCCAGUAGGCGGCCAACUAAGUCACACGUGAAAUCCCCAGGCUUAACCUGGGAACUGCGUGUGAUACUGGAUGGCUUGAAUUCGGGAGAGGGAUGCAGAAUUCCAGGUGUAGCGGUGAAAUGCGUAGAUAUCUGGAGGAAUACCGGUGGCGAAGGCGGCAUCCUGGACCGAGAUUGACGCUGAACGGCGAAAGCUAGGGGAGCAAACGGG
This 253-nucleotide ribosomal RNA is filed under the name uncultured bacterium. RNAcentral's name for it is "partial 16S ribosomal RNA". It matches the Rfam family "Bacterial small subunit ribosomal RNA", at positions 524 to 776 of the family's 1533-position model. The record is from RNAcentral.